This 422-nucleotide ribosomal RNA is filed under the name uncultured prokaryote. RNAcentral describes it as "bacterial SSU rRNA". It matches the Rfam family "Bacterial small subunit ribosomal RNA", at positions 355 to 774 of the family's 1533-position model. The record is from RNAcentral.
UGAGGAAUAUUGGUCAAUGGGCGAGAGCCUGAACCAGCCAAGUCGCGUGAAGGAAGAAGGUUCUAUGGAUUGUAAACUUCUUUUGCAGGGGAAUAAAGGACGGUACGUGUACUGUUUUGUAUGUACCUUGCGAAUAAGGAUCGGCUAACUCCGUGCCAGCCGCCGCGGUAAUACGGAGGAUCCGAGCGAUAUCCGGAUUUAUUGGGUUUAAAGGGUGCGUAGGUGUAUUGUUAAGUCAGUGGUGAAAGUUUGUAGCUCAACUUAAAAAUUGCCGGUGAAACUGUCGAUCUUGAGUGCAAAUGAGGUAGGCGGAAUGUGUUGUGUAGCGGUGAAAUGCUUAGAUAUAACACAGAACUCCGAUUGCGAAGGCAGCUUACUGGGAUGCAACUGACACUGAUGCACGAAAGCGUGGGUAUCAAACA